UUUUUACAUUUUAUUCUUAUUGUGUUUUAGAGGCGAUGUUGUUCAGCUGGCAGGAGAAGGAGGAACGACAACCGGCCCCAAUAAUAAGCGAUUGAGAAAUGCUCCUAUUCCAUCACAUCUUCAGUGUGUCGACAUGAAAGUGCUUCAGGUUUCAGACAUCCUGCCGGGUGUUGGGUAUUUAUUAUAUGCUGCAAGACC
This is a long non-coding RNA of Poecilia latipinna (sailfin molly), 198 nucleotides long. RefSeq lists it as uncharacterized. Lineage: Eukaryota; Metazoa; Chordata; Actinopteri; Cyprinodontiformes; Poeciliidae. The transcript is spliced from 2 exons. The record is from RefSeq and is a predicted model, not a curated record.